Molecule: ribosomal RNA, 641 nt
Filed under: Alteromonas macleodii
Lineage: Bacteria; Pseudomonadati; Pseudomonadota; Gammaproteobacteria; Alteromonadales; Alteromonadaceae
Description: bacterial SSU rRNA
Rfam family: Bacterial small subunit ribosomal RNA
Source: RNAcentral
GGGAACUUGCCUUUGCGAGGGGGAUAACAGUUGGAAACGACUGCUAAUACCGCAUAAUGUCUUCGGACCAAACGGGGCUUCGGCUCCGGCGCAAAGAGAGGCCCAAGUGAGAUUAGCUAGUUGGUAAGGUAACGGCUUACCAAGGCGACGAUCUCUAGCUGUUCUGAGAGGAAGAUCAGCCACACUGGGACUGAGACACGGCCCAGACUCCUACGGGAGGCAGCAGUGGGGAAUAUUGCACAAUGGGGGAAACCCUGAUGCAGCCAUGCCGCGUGUGUGAAGAAGGCCUUCGGGUUGUAAAGCACUUUCAGUUGUGAGGAAAAGUUAGUAGUUAAUACCUGCUAGCCGUUACGUUAACAACAGAAGAAGCACCGGCUAACUCCGUGCCAGCAGCCGCGGUAAUACGGAGGGUGCGAGCGUUAAUCGGAAUUACUGGGCGUAAAGCGCACGCAGGCGGUUUGUUAAGCUAGAUGUGAAAGCCCCGGGCUCAACCUGGGAUGGUCAUUUAGAACUGGCAGACUAGAGUCUUGGAGAGGGGAGUGGAAUUCCAGGUGUAGCGGUGAAAUGCGUAGAUAUCUGGAGGAACAUCAGUGGCGAAGGCGACUCCCUGGCCAAAGACUGACGCUCAUGUGCGAAAGUGU